GAUGAACGCUGGCGGCGUGCCUAAUACAUGCAAGUCGAGCGAACAGACGAGGAGCUUGCUCCUCUGACGUUAGCGGCGGACGGGUGAGUAACACGUGGAUAACCUACCUAUAAGACUGGGAUAACUUCGGGAAACCGGAGCUAAUACCGGAUAAUAUAUUGAACCGCAUGGUUCAAUAGUGAAAGACGGUUUUGCUGUCACUUAUAGAUGGAUCCGCGCCGCAUUAGCUAGUUGGUAAGGUAACGGCUUACCAAGGCAACGAUGCGUAGCCGACCUGAGAGGGUGAUCGGCCACACUGGAACUGAGACACGGCCCAGACUCCUCCGGGAGGCAGCAGUAGGGAAUCUUCCGCAAUGGGCGAAAGCUUGACGGAGCAACGCCGCGUGAGUGAGGAAGGUCUUCGGAUCUUAAAACUUUGUUAUUAGGGAAGAACAAAUGUGAAAGUAACUAUGCACGUUUUGACGGUACCUAAUAAGAAAGCCACGGCUAACUCCGGG
Molecule: ribosomal RNA, 497 nt
Filed under: uncultured bacterium
Lineage: Bacteria
Description: partial 16S ribosomal RNA
Rfam family: Bacterial small subunit ribosomal RNA
Source: RNAcentral